CAGGCUAGCACUUGCAGCGGGCAAGCUGCCUGACCUUAAUAUUUUUCAUUUCAUUUGUCACCUGGGUUUUCACCUGAGUUUUGCUUGUUCCCCACAAUUCAUUCCUUCUUGGUCUUGGGAAAAAAUAAAUAAAUAAAAGGAGUUCCUUUCCAUUAAUUACAUGUUCUUAACUUUACAGAUUUGGUUAUUGCCCUGGAAGGCAAAUAUCUGGGCAGACUGUAAGACUUAUGCUCGCAGCAUGGGACAGCUCUCGUAAAGGUGAUUCAGGGUAGCUUCUGGAAAACAAGACAUCAGAUCUCCAAAACAGCUUUCUUUGUGCUAAUGUAGGAAGAGCGAGUAAGAGUCAAGGAACAGAAUGGCUUGGACACAACUGCGCCUAUGACCGAGUUCAUUCAAGCUGGUGGACAAGACACUUCUCUGUCCAUCGGCCUGUCCUGCCAACUCUGGUGUGAGUGUGAAGUUGUGGCAAGAGGGCUUUCCCAGUCCUAUUUGACCUGGUGGACACCAGCUUUCCUAGGAAAUUGCUGAUGUUGCUGAGGAGGCAGCAGUAUCACAGCCCUUGUCGAUGAAGGUACAACAAGCUGGGGAGGCUUUGGCAUUUCUGCACAAUGCUGCUCCCUGAUUGUCACUCAAGACUCAGAUUCUGAAAGAAGCAAAGCAAGCUAGAGGAAAACUGUAUGUCCCGUAUCCAAAACUCCGUGUUACAGCGGAUCUUCUGCUCUGAUCUGAAAAGCUUCACAGGCCAAAAGAGAAUUGAGAUGACGAAGGAAAUAGAGAAUGCUGACCAAUAUUUCCAAUUACCACCUGUAUUAGGUGAAGAAGAACACUGAAACCAGCUGAAGCCAUAUCGGACACAUGCUUCUGCCAGGAAGUAAUUCAGAGUGAUUCCACG
This 892-nucleotide long non-coding RNA is filed under the name Anas platyrhynchos platyrhynchos (common mallard). RNAcentral describes it as "lncRNA (ENSAPLG00000025284.1)". The record is from RNAcentral. Lineage: Eukaryota; Metazoa; Chordata; Aves; Anseriformes; Anatidae.